AGAGGUAAAAUGGCCGGGCUGUUUUGCCACACACUAGAUAAUGCUGUUUACUUUAUUACAGUGAAGUAAACCUCGACCUGGGUCCUGCUCCAACACACAUGAGCUGUGUGAGCUCAAAGCUGGUGGUGUCAUCUAUCAGUUUCUGUCUGUCUUUCCCUUGUAUAAAAUGAGGACCCUAUGAGGAAGCGUCCAUGAGGUCUCAUUCCCCAAAUAAUUAACCUAUAAAGUCAGCUUGCCUGCAAAGAACAAGGGAAAACAUCAAAGAGCAACACUAGUCCUGCGACUUCCUAGCCGGCAAUCUUUCUUUAUGCUUCGAGGAACGCCUAGCACCUUGAGGAGAGCUCAGAAAUCACCUCAGGAGAACGGAGGAGAGAACUAAUGACCAUCCAGUGCCCACCUGGCUGGAGCUAAAAUUAGAUUUCCCAGAACCCCCAUGGAAGUGCUUGCACCUGAGACUCCUGGUGAGCUGGACCCUGGGUGGGAGCCUCCAUCUCCCACCUGCCAGCUGAUUGACAAUAAAGUUCUUUCUCAGGGCUGGGGUUUUAGCCCAGUGGUUCUGUCACCUGCCUCAGAAGCUCAACGUCCUGAGAUCAAUCUCCAGUACCCCCCCACAAAAAUAAAGGAAAUGAAACGAAACGAAAACAAAUAGCUCUUUCUCCUUCUGUCACUCUGUCACUCAGGUAACUGGCUUCACUGGGUAGCGAUGAAACUGAACCUGUCAUGGUUACAGGCACAGUGAAGAUGUAAUGCAAGAAAAAGUCUCAAUGGCUACAGUCUGAGUUUCACUCAGAUGGCUUAUCGUGCUUUGGACUUCACUAUCUGGACUUCAGUAUUUCUGCACAUGUAAAAGUGACCUCCUGCUGGGCUAAGGUUGUUUUGCAGCUGCAAUCAGAUAACCUGAAAAUAUAUCAAUAUAUGCUUCCUGUCUCUGUGCCCCUUGAAGAAGGACACUUGGCCUUGGUCCCACUAACUCCCAGGUAUUCAGGACAGUGCCGGGAAGUGAUUGGAGACUCAAUGAUUUGUCGGCAGAAAGAAUGUAAUACCUCCAUGCAUCUGAAAGAACAGAUUUCCCAGCAUGCCCUCUGGGCUAUGCUGCUCAAUCCACAGAGGUACAUGCCCUGUCCGCAUAGCUCUGGAGCUGAAGACGUGGGGAAAACAACCAUGGUCAGCCUGAAGUUCAUACAGAUGCCUUCGAGAGCUCAGGGGUCACGUAGAGGAAGAAGGAAAAGCUGUGUCGGGGGCCAGCAAUGAGACGGCUGGGGGAAACCCAAGAAAGCCUGUAGUUCUUGUCUGAUUUAAAAUUAAGCAGCACCGUGAAAAGGAAGGUAGAAAUGCCAGUCAGGGCAAACUAUUUUCAGGCAUCAAAUUUUCUGAAGAGAUCUAAAGCAAGGGCUGGGGAUGUAGCUCAGAGGUAGAGUGCUUGCCUAGCAUUUGGGGCCCUGGGUUCCAUCAAAAGAGAGAGACAGAGAGACAGGGGAGAGAGAGAGAGAAAGAGAGAGAGAGAGAGAGAGAGAGAGAGAGAGAGAGAGGCAGAGACAGAGAGGGAGAGACUAAUGCGUACCAGCUAAUAAAUUUACUAAGUUUUCUAGGUCUUAUUAUUAUUAAGCUUGGUGAGGAGAAAAAAUACAAUGUCAUAUUGCACCUAAAGAUGCAUCUCAAGGUCCUAGAAAGACAAGAACAAUGCAAAUAUGAAACUAACAGAAGGGAAAAAGUGUGAAGAUCACAGCCGAAAGGAAUGAAAUUGAGACUAAAAAUGUGAUACAAAGAUUCAGUGAAUCUGAGUUGGUUCUCUGAAAGGAUGGGAAGGGGAUCUGGGGUUGGGGGAGAUGGGAGGGAGAGGAAGGGAAGGGGAAGUAAGAAGGAUUGAGGUGUGAUAUGUAUAUGUACCCGUUUCCCCACAGUGAGUGCAUUUACUAUACUAAUACAAAAGACUGAAAAGAAAGGAAAGAAAGAAAGAAAAAGCAAGCAGGGAAGGAAACCGCCUCAUGCUCACAGGGAUGUGUUCUAAUUUGCAUCUUAGGUCCUUGAUGACAUUGCAGGAAUGAAAGGGGAGGGAAAAGGAAGGGAAGGG
This 2071-nucleotide long non-coding RNA is filed under the name Fukomys damarensis (Damara mole-rat). RNAcentral describes it as "lncRNA (ENSFDAG00000025434.1)". Lineage: Eukaryota; Metazoa; Chordata; Mammalia; Rodentia; Bathyergidae. The record is from RNAcentral.